AAGACGUAGGGAGCGAGCGUUGUCCGGAUUCAUUGGGCGUAAAGAGCGCGUAGGCGGCCGUGCAAGUCGGUUGUGAAAUCCCGGGGCUCAACCCCGGGACUGCGUCCGAUACUGCACGGCUCGAGGCAGGUAGGGGAGAGUGGAAUUCCCGGUGUAGCGGUGAAAUGCGCAGAUAUCGGGAGGAACACCGGUGGCGAAGGCGGCUCUCUGGACCUGUCCUGACGCUGAGGCGCGAAAGCUAGGGGAGCGAACAGGA
Molecule: ribosomal RNA, 256 nt
Filed under: uncultured prokaryote
Description: partial 16S ribosomal RNA
Rfam family: Bacterial small subunit ribosomal RNA
Source: RNAcentral